RNAcentral lists this ribosomal RNA (253 nucleotides) under uncultured bacterium. Its description in RNAcentral is "partial 16S ribosomal RNA". It matches the Rfam family "Bacterial small subunit ribosomal RNA", at positions 524 to 776 of the family's 1533-position model. The record is from RNAcentral.
UACGUAGGGGGCGAGCGUUGUCCGGAGUUACUGGGCGUAAAGCGCACGUAGGCGGUCUGCUAAGUUUGGAGUGACAGUUGGUGGCUUAACUGCCAAAGUGCUUCGAAAACUGACAGACUUGAGGGCUUCAGAGGGACACGGAAUUCCGGGUGGAGUGGUGAAAUGCGUAGAGAUCCGGAGGAACACCAAAGGCGAAGGCAGUGUCCUGGGGAGUACCUGACGCUCAGGUGCGAAAGCCAGGGGAGCGAACGGG